Long non-coding RNA from Rhagoletis zephyria (snowberry fruit fly), 99 nucleotides. RefSeq lists it as uncharacterized. The record is from RefSeq and is a predicted model, not a curated record. NCBI's taxonomy places the organism in Eukaryota, Metazoa, Arthropoda, Insecta, Diptera, Tephritidae.
AAGGCACUGGAUUGUGAGCUGCAAUUUAAUGGUCUUGCUCAGAGUUUCUCUUAGUUUUCAGAGUUGUGUGCGAUAGAUUUAUUAGAUAAAUACACUUAA